AUGUAUAGGUACAUUUAAGUGAUCUGAGUGACCAGGCCCUGGUAUCGUGGAUAUGUCUACCAGGUAUUUAUAGGUAAGUGAUCUGAGUGACCAGGCCCUGGUAUCGUGGAUCUAUCUACCAGGUAAAUAUUUAUAGGUAAGUGAUCUGAGUGACCAGACCCUGGUAUCGUGGAUCUAUAUACCAGGUAAAUAUGUAUAGGUAAGUGAUCUGAGUGACCAGGCCCUGGUAUUGUGGAUCUGUCUACCAGGUAAAUAUUUAUAGGUAAGUGAUCUGAGUGACCAGGCCCUGGUAUCGUGGAUCUAUCUACCAGGUAAAUAUUUAUAGGUAAGUGAUCUGAGU
Mizuhopecten yessoensis (Yesso scallop) is the source of this 340-nucleotide long non-coding RNA. RefSeq lists it as uncharacterized. The record is from RefSeq and is a predicted model, not a curated record. The transcript has 3 exons. NCBI's taxonomy places the organism in Eukaryota, Metazoa, Mollusca, Bivalvia, Pectinida, Pectinidae.